AAUUGGAGGGCAAGUCUGGUGCCAGCAGCCGCGGUAAUUCCAGCUCCAAUAGCGUAUAUUAAAGUUGUUGCAGUUAAAAAGCUCGUAGUUGAAUUUCGGGAUUGACGUGAUGGUCGUGCCUUAAGGGGUAUGAACUGUUGCUGUUGAUUUCUCACCUUCUGGAGAAACUUGAUGUCCUUAAUUGGGUGUCUUGCGGAUCCAGGACCUUUACCUUGAAAAAAUUAGAGUGUUUAAAGCAGGCAUUUUGCUCGAAUACAUUAGCAUGGAAUAAUAGAAUAGGACGGCAUGGUUCUAUUUUGUUGGUUUCUAGGAUCACCGUAAUGAUUAAUAGGGGUAGUUGGGGGCAUUAGUAUUCAAUUGUCAGAGGUGAAAUUCUUGGAUUUAUUGAAGACUAACUACUGCGAAAGCAUUUGCCAAGGAUGUUUUCAUUAAUCAAGAACGAAAGUUAGGGGAUCGAAGACGAUCAGAUACCGUCGUAGUCUUAACCAUAAACUAUGCCGACUAGGAAUCAGACGAUGUUAAUUUUUUAAUGACUCGUUUGGCACCUUACGGGAAACCAAAGUGU
RNAcentral lists this ribosomal RNA (565 nucleotides) under uncultured Glomus. RNAcentral's name for it is "SSU rRNA". It matches the Rfam family "Eukaryotic small subunit ribosomal RNA", at positions 546 to 1106 of the family's 1831-position model. Lineage: Eukaryota; Fungi; Glomeromycota; Glomeromycetes; Glomerales; Glomeraceae. The record is from RNAcentral.